AUUGAACGCUGGCGGCAUGCUUUACACAUGCAAGUCGAACGGCAGCACGGGUGCUUGCACCUGGGUGGCGAGUGGCGGACGGGUGAGUAAUGCAUCGGAACGUGUCCUGAAGUGGGGGAUAACGCAUCGAAAGAUGUGCUAAUACCGCAUAUUCUCUGAGGAGGAAAAGUAGGGGAUCGAAAGACCUUGUGCUUUUGGAGCGGCCGAUGUCUGAUUAGCUAGUUGGUAGGGUAAUGGCUUACCAAGGCGACGAUCAGUAGUUGGUCUGAGAGGACGACCAGCCACACUGGGACUGAGACACGGCCCAGACUCCUACGGGAGGCAGCAGUGGGGAAUUUUGGACAAUGGGCGCAAGCCUGAUCCAGCAAUGCCGCGUGAGUGAAGAAGGCCUCGGUUGUAAGCUACUUCUACGUUGUAGAAGAAAAAGUAC
This 430-nucleotide ribosomal RNA is filed under the name uncultured bacterium. RNAcentral's name for it is "bacterial SSU rRNA". It matches the Rfam family "Bacterial small subunit ribosomal RNA", at positions 30 to 456 of the family's 1533-position model. The record is from RNAcentral.